This 229-nucleotide ribosomal RNA is filed under the name uncultured bacterium. RNAcentral describes it as "partial 16S ribosomal RNA". It matches the Rfam family "Bacterial small subunit ribosomal RNA", at positions 568 to 796 of the family's 1533-position model. The record is from RNAcentral.
UCCGUAGGUGGAUCAAUCAGUCAGAGGUGAAAUCCUGCAGCUUAACUGUAGAACUGCCUUUGAUACUGUUGAUCUUGAGUCAUUAUGAAGUGGUUAGAAUGUGUAGUGUAGCGGUGAAAUGCAUAGAUACUACACAGAAUACCGAUUGCGAAGGCAGAUCACUAAUAAUGUACUGACACUGAGGGACGAAAGCGUGGGGAGCGAACAGGAUUAGAUACCCUGGUAGUCC